Molecule: ribosomal RNA, 412 nt
Filed under: uncultured eukaryote
Lineage: Eukaryota
Description: partial 18S ribosomal RNA
Rfam family: Eukaryotic small subunit ribosomal RNA
Source: RNAcentral
CAAUAGCGUAUAUUAAAGUUGUUGCAGUUAAAAAGCUCGUAGUUGGAUCUUGGGACGUUGGUGAACUCUGUCCACCUAGUGGUGCGAACGAGUUCACCCGUCCUUCCCUUCUGGAUAUCCCCUGUCGGUCUUAAUUGAGCGGCAGGAAAAGGUCGUUGGUUUGUUCUGGCGGCCCGGAUUCCAGAUCGUUUACUUUGAGGAAAUCAGAGUGUUCAAAGCAGGCUUAUGCCUUGAAUUCUGCAGCAUGGGAUAAUGAAAUAGGACUCAGGUUCUGUUUUGUUGGUUUUUAGGACCAGAGUAAUGAUAAAUAGGGGCAGUUGGGGCCAUUAGUAUUAAGAUGUCAGAGGUGAAAUUCUAGGAUUUUCUUAAGACUAACUUCUGCGAAAGCAUUUGGCAAGGAUGCUUUCAUUAA